Molecule: long non-coding RNA, 413 nt
Filed under: Olea europaea (common olive)
Lineage: Eukaryota; Viridiplantae; Streptophyta; Magnoliopsida; Lamiales; Oleaceae
Description: long non-coding RNA (OEUR_LNC002954)
Source: RNAcentral
CUCUCCAAUAAAUAUGUAACAUAAUCACUGGGCAAUGCAGAUCUUCUUUCCCUUUGUGAUCUCCUAACUUGUGGCUCAGGAACCGAUUCAAUCGUUGUUUGAGGAAUUGGAGAUUCCUCUUGGUUCCUCGGUUCUUCAUUAACAACUUCAAUUGGUUGGGAACCAACUCUUUCCUGUAUGAUGGGAACUGGAACAACAACUUGAUUGGGUUCAACAAGAAUUUCUCUCAACGUGGAACUCCCACUGUCUCCAAAAUCGUUCUCCAGAAACUUAGCAGUAAUGGACUCCACAAUUCUAGUGCCGCGAUUUGGACAAUAAAACUUAUAUCCCUUUGAUCUAUCCGGAUACCCAAUAAAGUAGCCAGGAGUUAAUUUAGGGUCUAAUUUCUUUUCAAAUGGAUUAUAAAUCCUAAC